RNAcentral lists this long non-coding RNA (588 nucleotides) under Elaeis guineensis (African oil palm). RNAcentral's name for it is "long non-coding RNA (EGUI_LNC010892)". The record is from RNAcentral. Lineage: Eukaryota; Viridiplantae; Streptophyta; Magnoliopsida; Arecales; Arecaceae.
ACGACCGUUCGAGGUCGGACUGCGCUGCCGCCGUCGCAACGUCGGCUAGGGAUGAUGUCUGAGGCCUUUUGGGGGGCCACGAAGGUUCGGCUCCAGACGUCGGUCUCUUCCUCGCCGCAUGUUGCCGAAUGUCGGCGUCUGUCAAUCUUACUCUCGGCGGCAUGCCUGCAAUUUCAACAAAGGAUUAGCACAAGUCCGAAGACAGAUGAAAAAACUAAAAAAUGACCGACAGACCGAACAGUACCUAAGCGGAGAACCAAACUCUGGCCGGCGUCAUACAGAGCUUGCUCGGUGACGAGCUCUCUCUGCUUUGGCACCGACACAUCUUUCAGUCAGUGAAAGUCCUCUCGAUCUCCAGCCUCCACCCGACUGUUUUCGUUCGGCUGAGUCUGAGGGUCGCCCCAGCAAGAAGGAAACCCCCAAGGUAGCGGAGAAGAAGCAAAGAAAAAAUAGUUCUUCCACCCGUGGAUCGACGAUGGAAGAUCGGUAAUGAACGAAUGACCCUUCCCAGAAUUGAAGAACCACCACCCUCGGACUUUCGGGUAGGGUCAGAGGAUGAAGAACGCCCGAAAGAGAGAGAUGCGGGGA